Molecule: long non-coding RNA, 682 nt
Organism: Zophobas morio
Lineage: Eukaryota; Metazoa; Arthropoda; Insecta; Coleoptera; Tenebrionidae
Exons: 7
Source: RefSeq, a predicted model, not a curated record
GUCACCAAGCUACAGUUUUAGGGGUAUGUCUGACGCCUUCUUCGGAGUUUGUUUGUGAAAAGUGUCGAAUUAGGACGAUGCAAACUUAGAUAACGGAAUAAACUCGGGCUGGGCUCAUCUAACUUAAGAAAUCAACUCGACGUGAUUGAUGAAAUUUGCAACGAACUUUUGGCCAUCAUUCAAUAUGAUCUCAAAUCCGUGAGAUAAUUUUAUCUCAACUACCUCAAUUUAUCGUGUGCGGCCACCAAUCUUCAGGAAAAAGCUCUGUUAUUAGGCGAAUAUCUGGUAGUCCAAUCACCGCAUUCAGCUAAUCUUUGUACCAGGGAUGCCACCACGAUUCUUAUGGAAAGAACAGAUGCACUCCGAGUAGGCGUUCCCUUCUAAACUUUAAAGGCAACGUGGUUACUUCUGAUGGUAGUAUUGAAAAGAUGGAAAGGGAAAAGAGUUGGUGGAGCUUACCGAGCGCAGGUCAACGCUACUUUGGUAGAUCUUCCCGGAGUUACCAACAUUAGCGACGAAGACGACCUCACUGUUAAUAAAAAUAAUGGGGAGAUACGCAAAGAUGCCUGAAACUCUAAUGCUCCAUGUUAUCCGCGGGAUCAAGAUCAAGGUUUGGACUAAUUGUGAUAAACUUGAAAAUUUUGAUCGCGAUAACAAUUACGAGAUGAACGAGUCUACAAAA